UCGAGAAUUUUUGACAAUGGGGGAAACCCUGAUCGAGCGACGCCGCGUGGAGGAUGAAGGUCUUCGGGUUGUAAACUCCUGUCAUUUGGGAACAAGGCGUGAGUAUUAACUGUGCUCACGUUGAUAGUACCAGAAGAGGAAGGGACGGCUAACUCUGUG
Molecule: ribosomal RNA, 159 nt
Filed under: uncultured bacterium
Lineage: Bacteria
Description: partial 16S ribosomal RNA
Rfam family: Bacterial small subunit ribosomal RNA
Source: RNAcentral